UACGUAGGGUGCGAGCGUUGUCCGGAAUUAUUGGGCGUAAAGAGCUUGUAGGCGGCCUGUUGCGUCUGCUGUGAAAAUCCGGGGCUCAACCCCGGAAUUGCAGUGGGUACGGGCAGACUAGAGUGUGGUAGGGGAGACUGGAAUUCCUGGUGUAGCGGUGAAAUGCGCAGAUAUCAGGAGGAACACCGAUGGCGAAGGCAGGUCUCUGGGCCGCGACUGACGCUGAGAAGCGAAAGCAUGGGGAGCGAACAGG
Molecule: ribosomal RNA, 253 nt
Filed under: uncultured bacterium
Lineage: Bacteria
Description: partial 16S ribosomal RNA
Rfam family: Bacterial small subunit ribosomal RNA
Source: RNAcentral